This 301-nucleotide ribosomal RNA is filed under the name uncultured bacterium. Its description in RNAcentral is "partial 16S ribosomal RNA". It matches the Rfam family "Bacterial small subunit ribosomal RNA", at positions 509 to 807 of the family's 1533-position model. The record is from RNAcentral.
CAGUCGCAGCGGUAAUGCGAAGGGUGCAAGCGUUAAUCGGAAUUACUGGGCGUAAAGCGUGCGUAGGCGGUGAGUUAAGUCUGCUGUGAAAUCCCCGGGCUCAACCUGGGAAUGGCAAUGGAUACUGGCAAGCUAGAGUCCGGAAGGGGAGUGUGGAAUUCCUGGUGUAGCGGUGAAAUGCGCAGAUAUCAGGAGGAACACCAAUGGCGAAGGCAGCACUCUGGGACGUGACUGACGCUGAGACGCGAAAGCGUGGGGAGCAAACAGGAUUAGAUACCCCUGUAGUCCCUGUCUCUUAUAC